This 305-nucleotide ribosomal RNA is filed under the name uncultured bacterium. RNAcentral describes it as "bacterial SSU rRNA". It matches the Rfam family "Bacterial small subunit ribosomal RNA", at positions 334 to 654 of the family's 1533-position model. The record is from RNAcentral.
UUGUCCUACGGGGGGCAGCAGUGGGGAAUAUUGGGCAAUGGGCGCAAGCCUGACCCAGCAACGCCGCGUGAAGGAAGAAGGCUUUCGGGUUGUAAACUUCUUUUGACAGGGAAGAGCAGAAGACGGUACCUGUCGAAUAAGCCACGGCUAACUACGUGCCAGCAGCCGCGGUAAUACGUAGGUGGCAAGCGUUGUCCGGAUUUACUGGGUGUAAAGGGAGCGUAGACGGAAAGGCAAGUCAGAAGUGAAAGCCCAAGGCUCAACCAUGGGACUGCUUUUGAAACUGUCAAACUAGAGUACGGGAG